CCCGACUUGCAGCUGACACCCGCCAUUGCACCGCCAGGCCUCGGCCAGCCGCAGACCCGAGCCAGAGACGCGCGGCUGUGACUAGGCCCCCCCCUCCGGCUCGCCCCUGCCCCAGCUCCGGGAGAAGCCGAAACCCCCCAGUCGAUGCCGCCGCCCACCCGCACGGAACUCCGGGGGCCCCUGCCCCUCGGCUUUGUUUCGUCGCUCGCCAGGACGCCGCCGGCUGGGCAGAAGCUGUCCGCCGCGGCGGUGCUGACGCGGGGAGUGGAGCCGGCGGGGGAGAGGGACUGUCCUCGGCGGCCGUGGUACUGAACCGGGACGGGAAGAGGAGAGGACCCCGCCGGGCGGGCGGCCCCAGUCCACCGGUGCAGGGCGGACCCCGGGAGGAGGACCCCGCCCGGCACGGCGGCUGGCCCCGAGGUGCUGCUGAACCGUGAAGGAGGGAGCCGUAGCGCCCUCCGCCUCGCCCCGGAAGAGCCGGCGGCGGCGGAGAGCUGCCGAGAGAGGGAGAGGCCGGAGGAAGCCGCCUUCGGGGAGCUCGGCAGCGCGGGGCCUAUGGCCAGGGUCUCUCCAGCGAACCCGCUCGCGCGGAGGACGGGGCGGCUCAGCCACAGGGAGCGAGCGCGCCUUCUACGAACCUGUUGGAGGCUGCAGCUCCUCCGCGGCCGACCAGGGCGCCCGGGACCGAGAUUCUGGCGCGCCUCUCCCUCCCCUCUUCCUUGCCUCCUCCGCCAAGGCGCUCCCUCCUGCCUGGGUUAGCACAUGUGCGCGCGGGGGGGCGCCGAGCCCCUCUUCUGUUCACCCCGAAUGUCAGCCGAGCUGCAGGGCACCGAGCCGAGAGGCCUCCCCCAAGGGCUGACCCGCUCCCAGGGAGACCCAAGCUUCCUGAGAAAAGAGGCGGGGGCUGGCGGCGGGGACGAGAGAGGGCGCCAGCAUAGGUGGCUGUGAAAUCAAGAGGGAGACUUGGGGAGUUCCCCACACACGCAGUUCUGCCUUGAAGUUUGGAGACUUAGGGGGGUCCCUCACUAGGGCAUCCUUUCUUGGAUCUCGAUCUCCCUCCCUUGCUCUUCCUCAAUUUCUGUGGCCAAAAAUCAAACCUAGGUCUUUAUUUACACCUACCUGUUCUAUUGCUGGCGCCACUCACUAGCCUUACUGCCUCUAGAACCUUAUUCUUGUUACCAACCCUGCCCCAGAGAGAUCUUUCUAAAAAUACGGUGUUUUUAAAGUCCUUCACCAGAAAGACCCAGUACCUCCUUUCUAUCUGUAUCAUGACCGAGGACCACUCAUUCUCAACAGGAUUUUCCCAGUGCCUUAGUACCUACUAUUUGUUCCCUUUGGCCGCAAUGUUCUUCCCCCCUUAUUCCUUAUGUUUAAUCUGUAAGCUAAAGUGUUUGCCUUCUCAGUGAAACUUUUCCCGUCCCCUGUGGCACAGUCUUCUGAGCCUCCCUCAGCUUUUACAUGCCUCUACUAGAUUUCCUAUCACAUCGUGUGACAAUUAUCUCUUCAUCUAUAUCCUCAACUGACCAGCUCAUGAAAACUGGCUCUAUAUUUUACUUUUCUCUGUAUCUCCGUCUGUAGCAUGACGAAUGACACACCAUAGACGUUCUAUUAAAUCUGCUGAAUGAAUCUACACAUGCAAGGCUCAAAGUAACUUCCUUUUCUUCAGGUGAUGGCUCAUUUGGUUUACAUAUUUUGACCACAGACUUCAAGGCCCCACAUGACAGCAUUCCUGCUUUAUCACCAACAACUCUUCUCUGAGUCAGAGACUUCCUCUAUCAUGACCUCCAUUUUAUACCAAGCUUCUUUUAAAAUUAAAAAAAAAUAUAUAUAUAUAUAUAUAUCUUUUUAUUUGCUAUUUUCUCAGCUUGAGGUCCUCAUUACCAUGACUCAUAUGGCCAAAUCUUGGCAUUUGGAUUUUAGUUCAAACGUCACCUCCUCAAAAAAGUCUUCUCCGACCAUCUACCUAAUAAUGCUUUCUAUCCCAAUCACUCUCUAACAUCAUUUCAAUUUUCUUCGGUGUUUAUUACUCUCUGAAAUUAUUGUGUAGUCAUCUCUCAGUAUCCAUGUGGGAUUGGUUCCAGGUGCCCCCACUGCUACUGCCAGACAAGGGGAGGUAGGAAUAAAUACAAGCUGUGGAGAAGGGUUUCAGAAGCUGAAUUGAACCUUGAAGGAUCCAGUGGGGAUCUGCAGUCAGACAACAGGGGGAGAAUGUUUCAGACAGAGGAAACAACAUUCAAGGGCCUUGUGUGAAAUUAAGGGACCAUGAGAGAUUUGAUGCAGAUGAAGUCCAAAACUGAUAUAGAGGAUAGAGGAUGGGAAAUUAGGCUGGAAUUGGCUUGGCCUCUGCUGCCAUGCCUCUAUCUCACAGACAGCAGAGAGUCUGCUUUAACAACUGCCAUCACCACCUUGAUCAUCCCUACAGUAACAACACUGGAUCAAUCCUUUACAAUUUGCAAAGUGCUUUCUGCUGACACUAGAAAUAUCACUCUGGAGUGAAGUAUGCCUGAAGCUCUGGGGGGGGGGGCACCAUACCUGUGGGCACAUACUUACUGUUCUGGAACACCUUAUAGAAAACUUGGACCAAUGAAAGUGUUCAGUGACUAUUUGUAGAAGUGGAAGAAACUGAGCACAAGGAGUCUAGUAUAGAGGCAGCUACAGUAGUAGUUCAAGUAAGAGAAGGAAUGAGAAGCAUCACUUAAUCCAUGAGUGUACAACUCUUUGGACUGUUGACCCUAGAAAGUAAAAAUUCACUGCUGUCUACCUCUGAGUACCCUGGGGAGGAGGCUGGGUUUAGCUUUCCGAAAUGAUUGCUGAAUUAUUUUAACAUUUUCCUCUCCCACAUACAGAAAAGCAUAUUGGCACGUAGGUGGCCAACACCCAGCCAAGCCAGGACUUCCUCUGUUUGAUAUCUUUUGACUCCUGGAUUGUGGUCUUGAUGGUCUCUAUUUUGUGGCAAUGAUAUUAUAUACCAUCAUUUGUUUGUAUGCUAAUGGUCGCUAUGUUAAUGAAACUCAGUCUUGGCUCAAGAACUAAAAUCUACCUUCUGUCUCUCUCCACCUCUGGGAGAUCCACAUGGACCCUGCUAAUGGCUAACUUACAGAGGACUGAUUUGUAUCAGUGUUACUCACUCUAUAACAGCCAUAAAUUUCUUUUUAUUCCUUGAAUAUACACCUCUCAUUCUCAGCUCCGGGUCAUGGCUCUUUUCAAGAAUGACUCUUCUCAAUAUUCAGACCUUGGUAUAAAUGGCUUUUUCUCAGAGAAGGUUAACCUGCCCGCAUUCUCUAAAAUAACUUCUUCUCACCCCAACUUAGACUACAUGGUUACCUUCUUUUAUUUUUGAUAACACUUGCUCUUUGAAAUGUCGUGUUUACUUUUUUGUUGCUUAUUUUCUGUUUCUUUCAGUGGAAUGCAAUCUCUAGGAGAGCAAGGAGCGUGUCUGUUGUGCUUAUCUCUGAACACACUGUCUUAGUCUGUUUGAGCUGCUACAAUUCCUGAAACUG
RNAcentral lists this long non-coding RNA (3500 nucleotides) under Marmota monax (woodchuck). Lineage: Eukaryota; Metazoa; Chordata; Mammalia; Rodentia; Sciuridae. The record is from RNAcentral.